GGGGGGGGGGGGGGGGGGGGGGGGCGGGGGCGGGGCGAGCGGGAGGGGGGGGCGGGAGCCUGCGGGCGGAAGGCUUUAUUUCGAGUGGCGGACGGGUGAGUAACGCGUGGGUAGCCUGCCUCAUACAGGGGGAUAACAGUUGGAAACGACUGUUAAUACCGCAUAAGACCACAGCACCGCAUGGUGCGGGGGUAAAAACUCCGGUGGUAUGAGAUGGACCCGCGUUCGAUUAGCCAGUUGGCGGGGUAACGGCCCACCAAAGCGACGAUCGAUAGCCGAUCUGAGAGGAUGACCGGCCACAUUGGGACUGAGACACGGCCCAAACUCCUACGGGAGGCAGCAGUGGGGAAUAUUGCACAAUGGGGGAAACCCUGAUGCAGCGACGCCGCGUGAGUGAAGAAGUAUUUCGGUAUGUAAAGCUCUAUCAGCAGGGAAGAAAAUGACGGUACCUGAGUAAGAAGCCCCGGCUAACUACGUG
RNAcentral lists this ribosomal RNA (478 nucleotides) under uncultured bacterium. RNAcentral describes it as "partial 16S ribosomal RNA". It matches the Rfam family "Bacterial small subunit ribosomal RNA", at positions 38 to 507 of the family's 1533-position model. The record is from RNAcentral.